GAUGAAGAACGCAGCGAAAUGCGAUACGUAAUGUGAAUUGCAAAUUCAGUGAAUCAUCGAGUCUUUGAACGCACAUUGCGCCCCCUGGUAUUCCGGGGGGCAUGCCUGUCCGAGCGUCAUUGCUGCCCUCAAGCACGGCUUGUGUGUUGGGCCCCGUCCUCCGAUCCCGGGGGACGGGCCCGAAAGGCAGCGGCGGCACCGCGUCCGGUCCUCGAGCGUAUGGGGCUUUGUCACCCGCUCUGUAGGACCGGCCGGCGCUUGCCGAUCAACCCAAAUUUUUUAUCCAGGUUGACCUCGGAUCAGGUAGGGAUACCCGCUGAACUUAAGCAUAUCAAUAAGCGGAGGA
This 346-nucleotide unclassified non-coding RNA is filed under the name soil metagenome. RNAcentral's name for it is "partial contains 5.8S ribosomal RNA, internal transcribed spacer 2, and large subunit ribosomal RNA". The stretch from base 1 to 119 matches the Rfam family "5.8S ribosomal RNA", at positions 35 to 154 of the family's 154-position model. The record is from RNAcentral.